RNAcentral lists this long non-coding RNA (560 nucleotides) under Manihot esculenta (cassava). RNAcentral's name for it is "long non-coding RNA (MESC_LNC013042)". Lineage: Eukaryota; Viridiplantae; Streptophyta; Magnoliopsida; Malpighiales; Euphorbiaceae. The record is from RNAcentral.
AUUAAACAGGUUUACAGGUUGCAUGUCAGGCUUGCUACGGGUCCCGGCGGCCUUAAGCCGACCUGGAUCCUAGCGCCGGUAACGGUCCGAUUUUCGGGUCGUUACAGAAUGGUAUCAGAGCCCUAGGUUCAUAUGGUCGGACCUAGAGUGUCAGGCUCAUAGAUGUUAUAGAAGGUCAAGCACAAUAGGAAAGGUUAUGUCCACUAGGAUAGGAUGUGGAGUCCUGUCUUGUAUGAUGAUGUGAAAUGCCAUGAUUAUAUACAUGUGCAUUAAUGCUAUGAUAUGAAUGAUAUGUAUGUGAUGCGGGUUCAUGUGUGCUCACAUGAACCAUAAGAUGCUAACGUUUCUGUGAUGUGUACUGUUUUUCAGAAAACAGGAUGAGAGGAACUCGUCGAUCUGCACGAUUGACUGGAGUGCCACCUGAGGAUGAGGGCAUGAGCGCCCGUCCUCCUACAUUGCCUAGGGCAAUGUCUAGUAGGUCUAGCAGAGAAAGAGCAGUAAGAGACCCUAGAAGGUCUCUGGAUCUGGGUAGAAGCAGAUCAGUGAGGGGAACAGUUCAG